UCUUGAAUGUCAAAACGACUCUCGGCAACGGAUAUCUCGGCUCUCGCAUCGAUGAAGAACGUAGCGAAAUGCGAUACUUGGUGUGAAUUGCAGAAUCCCGUGAACCAUCGAGUCUUUGAACGCAAGUUGCGCCCGAAGCCUUCGGGCCGAGGGCACGCCUGCCUGGGCGUCACGCAUCG
RNAcentral lists this ribosomal RNA (179 nucleotides) under Ruellia bourgaei. Its description in RNAcentral is "5.8S ribosomal RNA". The stretch from base 17 to 172 matches the Rfam family "5.8S ribosomal RNA". From Rfam's summary of the family: 5.8S ribosomal RNA (5.8S rRNA) is a component of the large subunit of the eukaryotic ribosome. It is transcribed by RNA polymerase I as part of the 45S precursor that also contains 18S and 28S rRNA. Lineage: Eukaryota; Viridiplantae; Streptophyta; Magnoliopsida; Lamiales; Acanthaceae. The record is from RNAcentral. RNAcentral also lists the same sequence under 1 other name.